CUUUGAUUCUGGCUCAGGAUGAACGCUAGCUACAGGCUUAACACAUGCAAGUCGAGGGGAAACGAUAGAGAAAGCUUGCUUUUUCUAGGCGUCGACCGGCGCACGGGUGAGUAACGCGUAUCCAACCUGCCCAUCACUUGGGGAUAACCUUGCGAAAGUAAGACUAAUACCCAAUGAUAUCUCUAGAAGACAUCUGAAGGAGAUUAAGGAUUUAUCGGUGAUGGAUGGGGAUGCGUCUGAUUAGCUUGUUGGCGGGGUAACGGCCCACCAAGGCGACGAUCAGUAGGGGUUCUGAGAGGAAGGUCCCCCACAUUGGAACUGAGACACGGUCCAAACUCCUACGGGAGGCAGCAGUGAGGAAUAUUGGUCAAUGGGCGAGAGCCUGAACCAGCCAAGUAGCGUGCAGGAUGACGGCCCUAUGGGUUGUAAACUGCUUUUAUAAGGGAAUA
Molecule: ribosomal RNA, 449 nt
Filed under: uncultured Bacteroidota bacterium
Lineage: Bacteria; Pseudomonadati; Bacteroidota
Description: bacterial SSU rRNA
Rfam family: Bacterial small subunit ribosomal RNA
Source: RNAcentral